UACAGAGGCCUCGAGCGUUAGGCGGAAUCACUGGGCUUAAAGCGUGUGUAGGCGGAUCGUUAAGUGUCUUGUGAAAUCCCACGGCUCACCCGUGGAACUGCUGGGCAUACUGGCGAUCUUGGGCCAACUAGGGGCAACUGGAACAAGCGGUGGAGCGGUGAAAUGCGUGGAUAUCGCUUGGAACGCCAACGGUGAAAACAGGUAGCUGGGAUUGUGCUGACGCUGAGACACGAAAGCCAGGGGAGCGAACGGG
RNAcentral lists this ribosomal RNA (253 nucleotides) under uncultured bacterium. RNAcentral describes it as "partial 16S ribosomal RNA". It matches the Rfam family "Bacterial small subunit ribosomal RNA", at positions 524 to 776 of the family's 1533-position model. The record is from RNAcentral.